GACGAACGCUGGCGGCGUGCUUAACACAUGCAAGUCGAACGGAAAGGCCCUGCUUUUGUGGGGUGCUCGAGUGGCGAACGGGUGAGUAACACGUGAGUAACCUGCCCUUGACUUUGGGAUAACUUCAGGAAACUGGGGCUAAUACCGGAUAUGAGCUCCUGCUGCAUGGUGGGGGUUGGAAAGUUUCGGCGGUUGGGGAUGUACUCGCGGCUUAUCAGCUUGCUGGUGGGGUAGUGGCUUACCAAGGCUUUGACGGGUAGCCGGCCUGAGAAGGUGACCGGCCACAUUGGGACUGAGAGACGGCCCAGACUCCUACGGGAGGCAGCAGUGGGGAAUAUUGCACAAUGGGCGGAAGCCUGAUGCAGCAACGCCGCGUGCGGGAUGACGGCCUUCGGGUUGUAAACCGCUUUCGCCUGUGACGAAGCGUGAGUGACGGUAAUGGGUAAAGAAGCACCGGCUAACUACGUG
Molecule: ribosomal RNA, 468 nt
Filed under: uncultured bacterium
Lineage: Bacteria
Description: partial 16S ribosomal RNA
Rfam family: Bacterial small subunit ribosomal RNA
Source: RNAcentral